AGUGGCGGACGGGUGAGUAACACGUAGGUAACCUGCCCCGGAGCGGGGGAUAACAUUUGGAAACAGAUGCUAAUACCGCAUAACAACAAAAGCCACAUGGCUUUUGUUUGAAAGAUGGCUUUAGCUAUCACUCUGGGAUGGACCUGCGGCGCAUUAGCUAGUUGGUGGGGUAAAGGCUUACCAAGGCAAUGAUGCGUAGCCGAACUGAGAGGUUGAUCGGCCACAUUGGGACUGAGACACGGCCCAAACUCCUACGGGAGGCAGCAGUAGGGAAUCUUCCACAAUGGGCGAAAGCCUGAUGGAGCAACGCCGCGUGGGUGAAGAAGGUCUUCGGAUCGUAAAACCCUGUUGUUAGAGAAGAAAGUGCGUGAGAGUAACUGUUCACGUUUCGACGGUAUCUAACCAGAAAGCCACGGCUAACUACGUGCCAGCAGCCGCGGUAAUACGUAGGUGGCAAGCGUUAUCCGGAUUUAUUGGGCGUAAAGGGAACGCAGGCGGUCUUUUAAGUCUGAUGUGAAAGCCUUCGGCUUAACCGGAGUAGUGCAUUGGAAACUGGGAGACUUGAGUGCAGAAGAGGAGAGUGGAACUCCAUGUGUAGCGGUGAAAUGCGUAGAUAUAUGGAAGAACACCAGUGGCGAAAGCGGCUCUCUGGUCUGUAACUGACGCUGAGGUUCGAAAGCGUGGGUAGCAAACAGGAUUAGAUACCCUGGUA
Molecule: ribosomal RNA, 712 nt
Filed under: uncultured bacterium
Lineage: Bacteria
Description: bacterial SSU rRNA
Rfam family: Bacterial small subunit ribosomal RNA
Source: RNAcentral